Unclassified non-coding RNA from Cercocebus atys (sooty mangabey), 161 nucleotides. The record is from Ensembl. Lineage: Eukaryota; Metazoa; Chordata; Mammalia; Primates; Cercopithecidae.
AAGGAGGGCUGGGCGGCGGUGGGCCCAGCCCCUCACAGCCACAGAACUCUGGAUCACCAAAGUGCUGAGGCCUCAAACUAGACAGGAAGUGGAGGGAUUGGGGAUGUUCCCUCGGCAAGAGGGUGCCAUGUAGAACGUAGAAACGGGGACUCUAAAAUGCC